This 253-nucleotide ribosomal RNA is filed under the name uncultured bacterium. RNAcentral's name for it is "partial 16S ribosomal RNA". It matches the Rfam family "Bacterial small subunit ribosomal RNA", at positions 524 to 776 of the family's 1533-position model. The record is from RNAcentral.
UACGUAGGGACCAAGCGUUGUUCGGAUUUACUGGGCGUAAAGGGCGCGUAGGCGGCAUGACAAGUCACUUGUGAAAUCUCUGGGCUUAACCCAGAACGGCCAAGUGAUACUGUCGCGCUAGAGUGCAGAAGGGGCAACGGGAAUUCCUAGUGUAGCGGUGAAAUGCGUAGAGAUUAGGAAGAACACCAAUGGCGAAAGCACGUUGCUAGGCUGAUUCUGACACUGAGGGACGAAAGCUAGGGGAGCGAAAGGG